This is a non-coding RNA of Parelaphostrongylus tenuis, 73 nucleotides long. The record is from the annotation of a GenBank genome assembly. NCBI's taxonomy places the organism in Eukaryota, Metazoa, Nematoda, Chromadorea, Rhabditida, Metastrongylidae.
GCCUCGGUGGUGUAGUAGUAGAGCACGAGUUCCCGGAUAGGAAGAAACGCAGGUUCGAUUCUCGCCUGAGGCU